Molecule: ribosomal RNA, 640 nt
Filed under: uncultured fungus
Lineage: Eukaryota; Fungi
Description: eukaryotic LSU rRNA
Rfam family: Eukaryotic large subunit ribosomal RNA
Source: RNAcentral
CCCGCUGAACUUAAGCAUAUCAAUAAGCGGAGGAAAAGAAACUAACAAGGAUUCCCCUAGUAACUGCGAGUGAAGCGGGAAAAGCUCAAAUUUAAAAUCUGGCGGCCUCGCGGCCGUCCGAGUUGUAAUCUGGAGAAGCGUCUAUCCGCGUCGGACCGUGUACAAGUCUUCUGGAAGGGAGCGUCGUAGAGGGUGAGAAUCCCGUCUUUGACACGGACAACCGAUGCUUUUGCGAUGCGCUCUCGAAGAGUCGAGUUGUUUGGGAAUGCAGCUCAAAAUGGGUGGUAAAUUCCAUCUAAAGCUAAAUAUUGGCGAGAGACCGAUAGCGAACAAGUACCGUGAGGGAAAGAUGAAAAGCACUUUGGAAAGAGAGUUAAACAGUACGUGAAAUUGUUGAAAGGGAAACGUUUGAAGUCAGUCGCGUCGGCCGAGACUCAACCUUGCUCUCUGCUCGGUGCACUUCUCGGUUGACGGGUCAGCAUCAAUUUCGACCGCCGGACAAAGGUCAAGGGAAUGUGGCAUCCUUCGGGAUGUGUUAUAGCCCUUGAUUCGCAUACGGCGAUUGGGAUUGAGGAGCUCGGCGCUUCACGCGUCCAGGAUGCUGGCAUAAUGGCUUUAAGCGACCCGUCUUGAAACACGG